GUUGGUUUCCAGUAUAUACUUGUCUUGUACCUAUUGUCCUGUACUAUUAUUUCAAUGUCCAGAAAAUGCACUUGCAUGUUGCUGCACUGAUCUUGGUUCAGACAUAGUCUGCAUGCUUCAUUUGUUAAGUGUUCGGCUAGUGUUUGUUUUGCUACCUGGUCUCCAUAUAACAAGAAUAUUGUCCACAUAUCUUACAUAAUCAAUUAUAUUUGGCUGUAACUUUUUUAAGACUUCUUCCUCAAUCUCUCUUAUCAGGACUUCCGCUAGCACUCCUGCUAUAGAGCUUCCGAUGGGUACCCUGUUUUCUGUCUGUAGAAGUUUUUUCUAAACGUAUAAUAUGAGUCAUAACAUAGCAUGUGGUCUAUAUCUCUUAGAAUUGAUGCUGUUGUCUCUGAGUUUGUUAUAUUCUUCAGCAGGAACCGGUAGAAUACUAAACAGGUCGCUUCUAGCCUCGGAUGGAUACAAGCUUUUAAAAUCAUACGUUGUUAAAAUUUCACCUGGAUUAUGUAUCCUAUUCUGUAUUUUCUUAAGGACAUCAUAAGUGCUGUUGGCUGUGUGUUUAUAUUCUUUUAAGAUGUUGUUACUCCAUUUAGCUACUUUUUCUUCUAGAUUGUAUGUGGGCACACAUCAUUUUUCGACUAUUGGCCUUGCUUCCAUAGCUGUCUUAUGCAUCUUAAUAUAAGUGAACAUUCUUGGGCAUGAUGCUGCUUUUAUUUUCUUAUGGCGAAAAACUUCUGGGAAUUUUUUAUUUUUUACUAGCCUGUCCACUUUUGCUUUGAUCUUCUUAACUGGGU
Molecule: long non-coding RNA, 794 nt
Filed under: Androctonus crassicauda
Lineage: Eukaryota; Metazoa; Arthropoda; Arachnida; Scorpiones; Buthidae
Source: RNAcentral